Talpa occidentalis (Iberian mole) is the source of this 751-nucleotide long non-coding RNA. RefSeq lists it as uncharacterized. The record is from RefSeq and is a predicted model, not a curated record. NCBI's taxonomy places the organism in Eukaryota, Metazoa, Chordata, Mammalia, Eulipotyphla, Talpidae. The transcript has 4 exons.
CUGCUGCUUGGCGCAGCCUCUUUCUCUUCCUCAGUUCUUAGCAAGUGGUAGUUACGGAAUGUGUCAAAAGCCUUAGAUUCGAAUCCUGAUUGCUAAUUAGUAGCUUGUAACUUUGAAAUGACCACUUAACUUUCUUCAAAAUUUCAGCAAAUGAGCAUUUACGAAGUGCUUGUCAGGAGUCUGAAACCGUGGAGUAUGAAUGUUGGAAAGAUGGUAUGCAAGACACACUUUCCUAGGAAGAUAGAUAAUAUUUUUAAAUUGCAGUACUGUGUGUGCUAAGUGCUAAAUGAGGGUCAUACUCAAAGUGGAAUGGGACAAAGAAGCAGCCCAGGAAGGAAGAGUUGGUCUGGGAGUGGUAGACAUCUGACUGUCUCACAAGGACACUGGGAAGAGUUAGACCCUCUUGUUAACUGUCAGGAGUAAAAUGACCAUUUCUGGUGCUUGGACCCUGUAAAAUCAAGGUUAAGGGCACUCUACCAUGGGAAAUAGGAAAACAAAAUAGAAGAAAAACCCUCUCAAGUUGUUACAAAGCAGAUGAGAGGAGUCCUAUAUAUGCUCCUAAGAAAAAAAUCACAUGAAGCCAAAUAUGUAACCCAUUUAAUGAGUACAGGAAACUCUCAAAGACUUAGAAGAAAACCUUAGAUCAGAUAGGAGAAAACAAUGAAGAGUUGGCUAUCAAAUCCAUCUCCUGCUUUCUGUCGCCUCACAGUGGAGCCACCACAGCAGAGCAGUGUAUGUCUUCAUUCUUUUC